This 1487-nucleotide unclassified non-coding RNA is filed under the name Priapulus caudatus. RNAcentral describes it as "syntaxin-like, transcript variant X1". The record is from RNAcentral. Lineage: Eukaryota; Metazoa; Priapulida; Priapulimorpha; Priapulimorphida; Priapulidae.
CGCAUGACAAAGGCAGCUCGAAAUCACGGGCAAGACGACGACGAACGAGGAACUGGAGAGCAUGCUGGAGUCGGGCAACCCUGCUAUAUUCACAGAAGGAAUCAUCAUGGAGACACAGCAAGCGAAGCAGAGUCUAGCGGACAUCGAGGCGAGACACAACGACAUCAUGAAGCUGGAGAACAGUAUCCGCGAGCUUCACGACAUGUUCAUGGACAUGGCCAUGCUCGUAGAGUCACAGGGAGAGAUGAUUGAUCGGAUCGAGUACAACGUCGAGGCAUCGGUCGACUACAUCGAGACGGCCAAGAUGGACACGAAGAAGGCGGUCAAGUACCAGAGCAAAGCGCGGCGGAAGAAGAUCUUCAUCAUAGUGUGUGUGGCUGUGUUGAUCGCAAUCCUCAUCAUUAUACUGGCGUCGGUGUUGCCCGGCAUCGGAUAAACGCGGCGCUGGCGGCGGCGGGCAGGAGGAGAGAUACGAGAGACACCGGACAGACGGACGGUCGGACCACGCCGCUAGCACGGUGGCGUUGCACGAGCGAGUGGGGGCGGUGGCGUCGCCGCGGCGACCCCUCUCUCACGCUUACCCCUGAGAAUGCAUACGAAAGACGAUGCAGAAGGAAGGUGGUGCCGGCAGCGGGAGUGUUGCGUCGCGAGGAAGGGAGCUUCCCUGCUGUCGGCUGUGAGGAAGAAGACGGAGGAACGGCCCAAGAUCGAGCAGCUGAGAGGAAGACGGAGAGAGAGAAAGAAAGAUAGAGCGAGAGGAAGAUGGAGAGACAGACAGAGAGAGAGAGAGAGAGAGAGAGAGAGAGAGAGAGAGAGAGAGACACCUCCCUGGCGUACUAGAGUGCUUUCUUGCAUUGCACGGUGGGGAGUUGGUACGUCUCUGUAAGACGAGAUUUAGUGACGCGGUCGUCCAGGAGAUGGCAGCACCGUGCUGUAGCUGGAGGGAAGCAGCGAUGGCCAGCCGGUAGAUGGCGCAGCGCGGUGUGGCUGUCUGUCCAUGUACAGCCGAGCGCAUUUUCUUCUUCAUUGUGUUCGCGAGGUUAUUGCAAGUUAUAUAUGUCUGCUCAUAUAUCUACUGUUGAAUAAUAAUGUUGAACACAUGCAGACACACACGCCACACACACGUAACACAUACAGACGCACGCACGCACGCAACCACACACACAUGCACGCGCGCACACACCGUGUGGGUAAUUUAUCUCCCGUGUCCUGACCGAUUUGUUAAAAAAAAACAUUUACAUGUGUAGAGAAACGUACAAUUAAAGAUUGCAUCGGUUAAGAACUACAGCUGUGAAUGAAAAGUGGGACAACACUCACCCAUUCCGCUCUUAUUUCACUGUUAGUUACAACUAACAACUAAUCACAAUCGUAAAAACGGCUCGUCUAAAUUAAUUGUGUCGUACAGUCAUCAUUACUUAAAUUGACUACGUCACGAAUUUUCUAUGAUAAAAUUUGUAAAAAAAAAAUUGCCAUUUUUUUACAUUAAA